RNAcentral lists this unclassified non-coding RNA (391 nucleotides) under soil metagenome. RNAcentral describes it as "partial contains 5.8S ribosomal RNA, internal transcribed spacer 2, and large subunit ribosomal RNA". The stretch from base 1 to 122 matches the Rfam family "5.8S ribosomal RNA", at positions 35 to 154 of the family's 154-position model. The record is from RNAcentral.
GAUGAAGAACGUAGCGAAAUGCGAUACUUGGUGUGAAUUGCAGAAUCCCGUGAACCAUCGAGUCUUUGAACGCAAGUUGCGCCCGAAGCCAUUAGGCCGAGGGCACGCCUGCCUGGGCGUCACACGUCGUUGCCCCCCCAUCUACUCCUUCGGGAUUGCGGGGGGCGGAUGAUGGCCUCCCGUGCGCCUCGUCGCGCGGUUGGCAUAAAUGCCAAGUCCUCGGCGACGCACGCCACGACAAUCGGUGGUUGCGAAACCUCGGUUGCCCGUCGUGUGCGGUCGUCGCGCAUCGAGGGCUCGAAAAAAUUGCGGGGCUCUGUUUCGGCUUUCAACGCGACCCCAGGUCAGGCGGGGUUACCCGCUGAAUUUAAGCAUAUCAAUAAGCGGAGGA